GACGAACGCUGGCGGCGUGCUUAACACAUGCAAGUCGAACGGAAAGGCCCUGCUUUUGUGGGGUGCUCGAGUGGCGAACGGGUGAGUAACACGUGAGUAACCUGCCCUUGACUUUGGUAUAACUUCAGGAAACUGGGGCUAAUACCGGAUAGGAGCUCCUGCUGCAUGGUGGGGGUUGGAAAGUUUCGGCGGUUGGGGAUGGACUCGCGGCUUAUCAGCUUGUUGGUGGGGUAGUGGCUUACCAAGGCUUUGACGGGUAGCCGGCCUGAGAGGGUGACCGGCCACAUUGGGACUGAGAUACGGCCCAGACUCCUACGGGAGGCAGCAGUGGGGAAUAUUGCACAAUGGGCGGAAGCCUGAUGCGGCAACGCCGCGUGCGGGAUGACGGCCUUCGGGUUGUAAACCGCUUUCGCCUGUGACGAAGCGUGAGUGACGGUAAUGGGUAAAGAAGCACCGGCUAACUACGUG
This 468-nucleotide ribosomal RNA is filed under the name uncultured bacterium. RNAcentral's name for it is "partial 16S ribosomal RNA". It matches the Rfam family "Bacterial small subunit ribosomal RNA", at positions 28 to 507 of the family's 1533-position model. The record is from RNAcentral.